Molecule: non-coding RNA, 84 nt
Filed under: uncultured Cellulosilyticum sp.
Lineage: Bacteria; Bacillati; Bacillota; Clostridia; Lachnospirales; Cellulosilyticaceae
Source: RNAcentral
ACCUAUGUAGUGAUAUAUAGCUGAAUUAUCAGAAGUCAGCAGAGGUCAUAGUACCCGAGUUAAUCGCGAUAGCAAAGGGAAGGA